AGUCUGCGCAUUUGUCUCUCUG
RNAcentral lists this unclassified non-coding RNA (22 nucleotides) under Mus musculus (house mouse). Its description in RNAcentral is "oocyte_clustered_small_RNA4829". Lineage: Eukaryota; Metazoa; Chordata; Mammalia; Rodentia; Muridae. The record is from RNAcentral.